GACGAACGCUGGCGGCGUGCUUAACACAUGCAAGUCGAACGGAAAGGCCCUGCUUUUGUGGGGUGCUCGAGUGGCGAACGGGUGAGUAACACGUGAGUAACCUGCCCUUGACUUUGGGAUAACUUCAGGAAACUGGGGCUAAUACCGGAUAGGAGCUCCUGCUGCAUGGUGGGGGUUGGAAAGUUUCGGCGGUUGGGGAUGGACUCGCGGCUUAUCAGCUUGUUGGUGGGGUAGUGGCUUACCAAGGCUUUGACGGGUAGCCGGCCUGAGAGGGUGACCGGCCACAUUGGGAUUGAGAUACGGACCAGACUCAUACGGGAGGCAGCAGUGGGGAAUAUUGAACAAUGGGCGGAAGCCUGAUGCAGCAACGCCGCGUGCGGGAUGACGGCCGUCGGGUUGUAAACCGCUUUCGCCUGUGACGAAGCGUGAGUGACGGUAAUGGGUAAAGAAGCACCGGCUAACUACGUG
This 468-nucleotide ribosomal RNA is filed under the name uncultured bacterium. RNAcentral's name for it is "partial 16S ribosomal RNA". It matches the Rfam family "Bacterial small subunit ribosomal RNA", at positions 28 to 507 of the family's 1533-position model. The record is from RNAcentral.